Oryctolagus cuniculus (rabbit) is the source of this 1732-nucleotide long non-coding RNA. Lineage: Eukaryota; Metazoa; Chordata; Mammalia; Lagomorpha; Leporidae. The record is from Ensembl.
GGUGUGUGGAGACCCACCCCCACUGGAAGGGCCAGAUGCCAUCGUGCCUGUCCUCAAGGAUGACAGAUCCUACCUGCUCUGUGGAUACUGGGCUGAUGAGCCUGAAGCACCAGCCCAGGCCUGGGCUAGGGCCUGGCACUUUACAACCCAGCAACCCCUCUGCUGUGCUGAGGCCAUUGUGGUGGAAGACUCCUCAAACAAAAAGGAGAAAGUCAAGGGGGCAUCCUCAGAUCAGGCUGAGGCUAUGUCCAGGGUGGGUGAAGAUCCACCCCCACUGGAAGGGCCAGAUGUCAUCACACCUAUCCUCAAGGAUGAUGGGUCCUACAUGCUCUGUGGAUUUUGGGCAGAUGAUCCUGAAGCACCAGUCCAGGCCUGUGCUGAGCCCUGGUACCUUACAACCCAGAAGCCCAUUUGCUGUGCUGAAGCCAUUGCGGUGGAAGAGCCCUCCUGCAAAAAGGAGGAAGGGGACUCGGCAUCUGCAGAGCAGGCCGAGGCUAUACCCAUGGUGUGUGGAGACCCACCCCCACUGGAAGGGCCAGAUGCCAUCGUGCCUAUCCUCAAGGAUGACGGAUCCUACCUGCUCUGUGGAUACUGGGCUGAUGAGCCUGAAGCACCAGUCCAGGCCUGGGCUGGAGCCUGGCACUUUACAACCCAGCAGCCCAUCUUCUGUGCUGAGGACACUUUGGUGGAAGAGCCCUCAUUUCAAGAGGAGGAAGGUGUGGUGGCACCUGCAGACCAGGCCGAGGCUAAUCAGAGCCUCUGCUCUGCAUCACACCUCAGGGUGUGUGAAGAUCCACCCCCACUGGAAGGGCCAGAUGUCAUUGUGCCUAUUCUCAAGGAUGAUGGAUCCUACAUGCUCUGUGCAGUUUGGAUGGAUGAUCCUGAAGUGCCGGUCCAGGCCUGGGCUAGGGCCUGGCACCCUACAACCCAGCAACCCAUCUGCUGUGCUGAGGCCAUUGUGGUGAAAGAUGCCACCUACCAAAAAGAGAAAGUCAUGUUGGCAACUGCUGAUUGGGCUGAGGCUACCUCCAGGGUGGGUGGAGAUCCACCACCACUGGAAAGGCCAGAUGCCAUUGUGCCCAUCCUCAAGGAUGAUGGAUCCUACAUGCUCUGUGCAUAUUGGGCUGAUGAGCCUGAAGCCCCAGUCCAGGCCUGGGCUGGGGCCCUGCACCCUACAGCCCAGCAGCCCAUCUGCUGUGCGGAGGCCAUUGUGGUGGAAGAGCCCUCAUCACAAGAGGAGGAAGGGAAGGUGGCACGUGCAGACCAGGCUGAGGCUAAUCAGAGGGUGUGUGGAGAUCCACCCCCACUGGAAGGGCCAGAUGCCAUUGUGCCUAUCCUCAAGGAUGACGGAUCCUACCUGCUCUGUGGAUACUGGGCUGAUGAGCCUGAAGCACCAGCCCAGGUCUGGGCUGAGGCCUGGCAUGCAAAAACCCAGCAGCCCAUCUGCUGUGCUGAGGCUUUUUGGGUGAGUCCUUAGAUGUGAAUCUUGCUGCAGACCUGUCAAAGUGCCCGAGUGGACUCCUAUGACCCAGGCCUGCUUGCUGUUACUCCCCAGGGAAAGGUGGUGAUGUGGCAGGCUGUCCCCUGGGCUAUAUCUGGAUGGACAGAGGCAGAACCCAUGGUGGAGUUUGCAGCACAGUUGUAGUGUGGCUGGUGUGUCUUAGCCUCAUAGUCCCAGGAUAUGCCCCCCUUUCUGACACUGACACUGGCCUUGUUGUGCCUGAAGCACAUG